This is an RNA transcript of Brassica oleracea var. oleracea, 2410 nucleotides long. It is a transcript of the gene named disease resistance-like protein CSA1, with no coding region annotated. NCBI's taxonomy places the organism in Eukaryota, Viridiplantae, Streptophyta, Magnoliopsida, Brassicales, Brassicaceae. The transcript is spliced from 5 exons. The record is from RefSeq and is a predicted model, not a curated record.
GUUAUACCCUCUAAAAACUUUCAAUAUGCUGUUCCUAAACUCAUUUCCUCUUAGGUUACAACUCUUCUUCAGCGAAAUAAGAAGGUACCAGUGGUAUGGUCGACUUUAUCUGGGAUAUAAAUUCAAAGGAAGCUGAAGCAAAUUCAAGCAGAGAUGACGAUGUGAAUCCCAGAAAGGAUGACAAUUUCAUUGACUAUGAAGGAAACACUGUUGUGACCUUUAAUUUACAGAAUUAUGUUGAGAACAAGAGAGUUGAACCAGUCGUUGGUGAAAAGAAGCAAGAAAAUGUAACUGAAAGCUCUACCAUGGCGAAGCCAUUGCCAGAGCAUAAAAUGUUCAUCAAUUUCUGGGGAGACGACCUGCGUCAUGGCUUUGUUGGCGAGGCCUUGAAAAAGGAUGGAGUCUAUAUAGAUGUUGAUGAGUUGCCGCGUGGAGAUCUUACAGAACUUCUUGUGAAUGGGAUUAAGGAGUCGAGGAUCGCACUGGUAAUCUUCUCGAGCGGGUACGCAGAAUCAAGUUGGUGCUUAAACGAGCUGCUGAAGAUCAAAGAACUUAUGGAAAGAGGGAAACUAUUAGUCAUUCCAAUCUUCUACAAAGUGGAGCUAUGGGAGGUUACACAACUAAAGGGUGAUUUCGGGGUUAAAUUUUGGAAUUUGUGGCGUAUUAAUCGGGAUAGCCAUAUCGUUAGCUGGAAGGAAGCUUUGGAGUCUGUUGCGUCCAUGGAGGGGAUCUAUUUGAAGGAGCACAGUUCUGAGACCGAGUUCAUCACUUUUGCCGUCAAUGAAGUCCUAAAGAGAGUUUCUCUGUGGGAAGGAGAAAAUCCAUCUCUCUUUCCUUCGACAGAGAGAGGAAAAAGUACUGGAUUGCCCAUAGGGACAGGUGAAAAGCAUAAAACUUAUCAGAACAAGCAGCACCUCUUUGGAAUGGAACAUCACAUGGAGCAAUUGGAGAAGAAGUUAGAGUUUGACUGCGACAAAACUCGCAUUAUUGGAGUUGUUGGAAUGCCUGGUAUUGGUAAAACCACUCUCGCAGUGAUGCUGCACCAGAAGUGGAACAGCCAGUUUAUACGCUGUGUGCCUCUUCUAAAUAUCCGUAAGAAGUCAAACGACUAUGGACCAGUGUGGCUGCGAAAGACUCUUCUGGAAGUUUUAAUAGAGGGAAAGUUUCCAUUGAUAAGUGACAAGACAACGCAUGAAUCUGUGAAGGAUACAUUGCUUCAUACUAAAGUUUUUGUUGUUCUUGAUGACUUGAGCGACAAGAAACAAUUAUAGUUUCUUCUCGGUAACCUUGGUUGGAUUAAGAAGGGAAGCAAGAUUGUUAUUUCAACAUGUGACAAGUCAUUGCUUGAUGGAUGUGCUCAUGAUACUUAUGUAGUACCGGUAUUGAAUGAUAGAGAGGCCUUUCAGCUCUUUAAUUAUCAUGUCUUCGAUGAUAAAAUCCGCAGUUCCACCAAUACCUUCCUGACGCUCUCUAGAAAGUUUGUGGAUUACGCUCGAGGACACCCACUUGCUCUCAGUUUACUUGGUAGGGAACUUCGUGGGAAAGACCGGGAUCACUGGGAACAUAAAUUGGCAACACUGACAAGCUCCAAUAUGAUGUUCCAAGAUGUGUGGAGAUUUUCUACUGAUCAACUUAAUGAGCGGCAGAAAGAUGUGUUUCUAGACAUAGCGUGUUUCUUCAACUCAGAGGAUGAAUAUUUUGUUAGGAGUUUACUAGAUUCAGGAGAUCCUGACUCCAUUGAUACUGUGAGUGAAGUAAGAGAUCUCGCCAACAAGUUCCUGAUUACAAUAUCUGACAGCCGAAUAAUUAUGAAUGAUAUGAUGUAUACGUUUGGCAAGGACCUUGGUUCUCCUCGUUGGCUUAGGCUUUGGAACUACGAAGAUUUCAUCAACAAGUCAAAAACAAUGAAAAAAUCAAAGGUUAAUAAUGUAAGAGGUAUUUUCUUAGACAUGUCAAAGUUGAAGAAGAGCAUCCACUUGGAAAGUUCGAUUUUUAUCAAUAUGCUCAAUCUUCGAUACCUCAAGAUAUAUGAUUCUUGUUGUGCUCGGAAAUGUAUACCUAACCGCAAAUUAUACCUCUACAAUGGGAUUAAAUUCCCCUUGAAAGAGGUGCGUUGUCUUCAUUGGGUGCAAUUCCCGCUGGAAGAAAUUCCACUAGACUUCAAACCAGAAAAUCUUGUUGACCUGAGGUUGCCUUACAGCAAGAUUGAACGUAUUUGGAAAGGUGUUAAGGAUACACCUCGGUUGAAAUGGGUAGAUCUGAGCUACUCACGUAAGUUGCUCGACUUGUCAGCAUUAUCAAAGGCUGAAAAUCUUCGAAGUUUGAAUCUGGGAGGCUGCACGAGUUUGAAUGAGUUACCGGUGGAGAUUCAGAAUAUGAAGUCUCUUGUUUUGCUCAACCUGAGAGGAUG